GGAAUAUGAGCAGAACGCAAAUUUCACAAUUUGCUUACGCAUGGUCUCAUCCAGGAGCAACGCUAGGUGAAAUGUGGAAAACCACACCCAGCAUCGGAACACACAGAACACGAGUGAGCAGCCUCCGUUCACUGCAAGUACUGAGUCACACUUACCCAGUCCUGGGAUUAGAACUCACCCUCUGAUUCCAGCUGACUCUCCUUCCACAGCUUCACCUUAAUUCAUGAGCUGCAACCCUUCCUAUGCCCACUUCUACAGGCACACUUCAGGUCUUUUCCAAGUAUUCAACUUACACUAUUACAAAAUUUGAAUCUCACAAUAACCCACUGAAAAAGCCAAUGAAUCUUCCUUUAUUACAAAAGAAGAAGAAGCCUCAGAAAAGGUUGAAAUCCUAACCCCCAAAGCAAUGGUAUCAGAAGGUGGGGACUUUGGAAAGCGAUUAAGUCAUGAAUGAGAUUAGCGACCUUAUAAAAGAGACCCCAGAGGGCUCAUUUGCCCCUGCUGCCAUGGGAGGACACAGCAAAAUGACAGCCUUCUACAAACCAGAAAGUGGGCCUUCAACACACAGUCAAUCUGUCUGUGAGAAAUAAAUUCCUGUUGUUUAUAAACCAGUU
This 614-nucleotide long non-coding RNA is filed under the name Homo sapiens (human). Its description in RNAcentral is "HSALNT0356698". Lineage: Eukaryota; Metazoa; Chordata; Mammalia; Primates; Hominidae. The record is from RNAcentral.